Long non-coding RNA from Perognathus longimembris pacificus (Pacific pocket mouse), 276 nucleotides. RefSeq lists it as uncharacterized. NCBI's taxonomy places the organism in Eukaryota, Metazoa, Chordata, Mammalia, Rodentia, Heteromyidae. The transcript has 3 exons. The record is from RefSeq and is a predicted model, not a curated record.
AAAAUUAGAAGAUUUUGCUACAGCUAAAGACAUAGCCACUAAACUAGAAAGACAGCCAACCAUAUAGGAAAGGAUCUUCACCAGUACAGCAACAGACAAAGGCCUAAUAUUCGUCAUCUACAAAGAAUUCAAGAAACGAACCCCCUCCAAUCCCAGUAAACCAAUUAUUAAAUGGGCAAAGGAGCUAAAGAGAAACUUCACAGGAGAAGAGAUAAAAAUGGCAAAGAAACAUAUGAGGAAAUGUUUAACAUCCCUGGCAGUAAAGGAAAUGCAAAU